Molecule: non-coding RNA, 3179 nt
Organism: Drosophila virilis
Lineage: Eukaryota; Metazoa; Arthropoda; Insecta; Diptera; Drosophilidae
Source: RefSeq, a predicted model, not a curated record
AUAUUUUCUAAGAAAUUCGUUUAGUUUUUCAUUUAGUUUUGUUUUAUAUUUUCGAAUACUUUCGUUUUUGGUACAAACCAAGUGCAUUGGGCAAUAAGAGUAGAAGAAACACGAAACUACAUAGAAUGUAAAAUGUAGCAAAAUGCAAUAAUGUUUAGCCGGAACAUAUCAUAAGGGUUUGCUGGCAACGUUGCUGCCUUGGAAGUCAAGAAAGUCGAGGAAGACUUGGAGCACUUGGUAGCUGUGCAUCUGCAUGGAACGUUGCCUCAACUGUGGACUGCCGCCAAGCAAAUUGUUUAGCAUUUAUCAUUGGAAAUGCUUAUCUGCAAUACAUAUACAAAUAGAAAUACAAACUCGAAUGCAAUAUGCUAAAUUUGUAUGUAGAUUGCAAAUGUCUGACAGGGGCACAGGAAGACAGACAGGCACGAAUGCAAUGAAUGCGCCCUAUCAGGCAUCAGCAUGCACAUAAAUCAAAUAUUUGAAAUAUUUUCUGCGUUUACGACUAAAUAAUAAUCAAAAAUUCCAGGCUGAGGACAUGCAUACACAGACACACACACACACACACAUACACGCACACUCACUGAAUUCAUAGGAAUAGAAGUAAAACUGGAACAAGAAUACAUAGAAAAUAACAUAGCUCUAUUCGAAAAUGAAACAAGAACAUUUUUGUACAGUGCGUUUACUUUUUGUAUCUGUGUGUAAACUAUUUGUAUUAUACUCGUAUUUUGUGCAUUUGUAUUUGACACAAACCAGAAACAGACUAUGUCACUUUUUAUACAUAUUUAACUAACAAAAUAUAAUGUUUAAAAACAAAACAAAAACAAAAGACAAACAAUUGACCAACAAAAAACCAAAUCUACAAUCCUACAACAUAUACACAACACCCGAAAAUACAACACACAAAAUUAUUAAAUUCAUAUGGAGAAACCAAAAAUAUGAAAGCUAAACUAUGAGCAAAACACAUUUGUGUCCCUCAACAAAUAAUUAAUAAUAAUGAAAGAAUAUUACAUACGCAGCUAAAAAAACAGCUAAAAACGUUAAUCAACAAUAUUGCAUACCAUUACCAAAAAAAAAAAAAAAAAAAAACUAAACUAAAUGCAAAAAUUUAAAUGUUGUGAUACGAUUGACAUAGUAAAAACUUAUUACCAGCAACAAAAAAUACCAUAUAGCAUACUCGUCGUGGAGUGUACGUGCUUUCAGUUUUUAUCCAGUUUGAGCUUUUUCAAUUUAUUGCAUUUGCAUUUUAAAGAUAAUUGAGCAUAAUCAAUUAUUUUGCCACAUUUAACAGAUGAGGGAAACGCGACGGCAAAAAGCAUUUCAAUUUUUUUAUUACUUUCCUUGUUUUUUUUUCUUUCGCUUCUUUGCAUAUGCAGAUUUAAAUUGAAUCAGCGCCUGCGUUUAAAGAAAUCUGUGAAUAAAAUACAUUUUUUUUUCAAUAAAUGUUUAUACGUUUAUAUACAUGCGAAUAGGUUCACUCGAGGUGUGAUUUUUCAACAAGUAUAUGAAAGCUUUUGAAGAUAAAAGAAUUCAGUUCUGAAUCUCUACUCUGUUUAUUUAAGAUCUGUACUGAAGAUAAUUUAACUUCUAUCUUUAGUUUAUAAAUGCAGAGAGAGAAAGAGUGAGGGAGAGGGAGACAGAGAGAGAGAGGGAGAUAGAGAGAGAGUCUUAAUAGCAGACAAUAAACUUGGAAUUCUAAAGUCGUUUUCAUUCUAUUAAGUUAGAAAAGUUCCUCAACAGGACAGAUUCAAGAACUUAUUGCGAAAAAACUUAAAGCAAAUCUUAUUUAUAUUUGCUUAAAUCACAGUUGAACCUAUUCACUUGGCCAUUUAUUGUAUUUCGAAUGAAAUUUUGGACACACAACAAGUGUGUGCCAUUUCAAAGAAUUUUUUAAUUACAGAGUUUUCUGUAAUUUUAUAUUGACGUUAAUGCAGUUGUAAUUUGAGGUUUUAAAGCCCGAUAGAAAAAUGCGCCCUUAAGCAUGCAACACUUUUUUGCCUUUCGUUUCUCUAUGUAUCUUUUGUACAUACACAUACACAAAUAUUUGUAAUAUGUGCAGCUGCUACAAAAUGGUAAUUAAAGUGAAUGUGCUUAAACUAUUGCAAAGUUAAAGUUGUUAACGCUUAAGGCAAAACGAGGAGAAACAUAAAUAAGCAGUCCAUACUAUCAAAACACAGAAACAUAAACACAAUGUAAAUUACAUAAAUGAAAACUCCAAUCUAGUAAGCAUAACAUAUAAAUAUAACAUAAUAGUUAUUAUAUUAUUGAACAGCAGCUCGCGCCGAAACAGCAAAACAACAAAAAAAAAAAAAAAACAACAAAUGUGAUUUUUGAAUAAAAAUUAAAAGAAAUGAAACUCGAUGCCUAUCAUUCAAUCACUCGCAUGCUUCAGCUGCUGCAACUGAGCUAAUGUAGUUUCUAUUAACAAGCUAAGAACAACUACAACAACAACUCGCCGACAGACUCAACACCUUGGCGAAAGUUUGCGAAACGAAUUAGCAAAGUUUUUAGCAAGGAACACGAAACAUGUCGCUGUCCUCUCCGAAAAAUAGUUUUUCAAGCAGGCGAAAUUCGCCGCCUAAAAGCAUGCAAUGAAAUUUCGCGGUUUUUGCACACUUUUCCAUGCAAAUAGUUAUGAUAAGGAGGGCAGAGUCCGACGAAGUGUAAUGGUAGAUAUAUGCACACCUUUACCAAAUUUUACUCUCAAUGUGAACUGUUUGCAAGAAGCGUUGAAAUCAGUGCAAUAGAUGAAUACGAUUUAAAAGCUGAAGAACUUUGAUCCGGGCUGGCAUCCCAGACAAGUGCAUGAAUGUAAAACUAUCUUAGCCGAUUGCUAUAGACCCUAAGGCUAUCUUAAAAGGGAACGUGAGUAGUUAUUAAGAAAUAAAUAAAUUGUAAGGUUUUUUUUGCAUUUAAACAAAGAUUGGCUAAACUUAAGCAAAAAACUCUCAAUAUUUAUAUCUAAUUUCUAUUGUUUUUAAAGCACAAUGCUUUUUAUAAGAAGACAAGCUGCCGACACGGACUUCGCUUCAAUGUUGUUGUCCUCAAAAAUCAGGAAGAUUACUCAACAGGCAAAACAACAGGCAAAACAAGAAGAAAGAGCUGAAUAUUCAAAUUGGGUAUAUAAAAUCAUGAAAUAAAUAGACAAACUUUCAUGCUUUAUUAACAAACUGUGCCGAAAA